CUUAGCAUAUCAAUAAGCGGAGGAAAAGAAACCAACUGGGAUUGCCUUAGUAACGGCGAGUGAAGCGGCAAUAGCUCAAAUUUGAAAGCUGGCGUCUUUGGCGUCCGCGUUGUAAUUUGUAGAGGAUGCUUCGGCGAGGGCUCCGGUCUAAGUUCCCUGGAACGGGACGUCAUAGAGGGUGAGAAUCCCGUAUGUGAUCGGUUGCCUAAGCCAUGUGAAGCUCCUUCGACGAGUCGAGUUGUUUGGGAAUGCAGCUCUAAAUGGGAGGUAAAUUUCUUCUAAAGCUAAAUACCGGCCAGAGACCGAUAGCGCACAAGUAGAGUGAUCGAAAGAUGAAAAGCACUUUGGAAAGAGAGUUAAAAAGUACGUGAAAUUGUUGAAAGGGAAGCGCUUGCAACCAGACUCGUCCGCAGUUGCUCAGCCGGUCUCUUGACCGGCGUACUCUUCUGCGGCCGGGCCAGCAUCAGUUCGGGCGGCCGGAUAAAGGCCUCGGGAAUGUAGCACCCUUCGGGGUGUGUUAUAGCCCGGGGUGGAAUGCGGCCAGCCUGGACUGAGGAUCUCGCUUCGGCUAGGAUGCUGGCGUAAUGGUUGUAAGCGGCCCGUCUUGAAACACGGACCAAGGAGUCUAACAUCUAUGCGAGUGUUUGGGUGUCAAACCCAUGCGCGUAAUGAAAGUGAACGGAGGUGGGAACCCUCACGGGUGCACCAUCGACCGAUCCUGAUGUCUUCGGAUGGAUUUGAGUAUGAGCAUAGCUGUUGGGACCCGAAAGAUGGUGAACUAUGCCUGAAUAGGGUGAAGCCAGAGGAAACUCUGGUGGAGGCUCGCAGCGGUUCUGACGUGCAAAUCGAUCGUCAAAUUUGGGUAUAGGGGCGAAAGACUAAUCG
This 885-nucleotide ribosomal RNA is filed under the name Pseudofusicoccum adansoniae. Its description in RNAcentral is "partial large subunit ribosomal RNA". It matches the Rfam family "Eukaryotic large subunit ribosomal RNA", at positions 33 to 937 of the family's 3401-position model. Lineage: Eukaryota; Fungi; Ascomycota; Dothideomycetes; Botryosphaeriales; Botryosphaeriaceae. The record is from RNAcentral.